This is an RNA transcript of Metopolophium dirhodum (rose-grain aphid), 1981 nucleotides long. RefSeq lists it as uncharacterized. The record is from RefSeq and is a predicted model, not a curated record. The transcript has 6 exons. Lineage: Eukaryota; Metazoa; Arthropoda; Insecta; Hemiptera; Aphididae.
UUGGCCAGUUAGUAUGUUUUUCACUGUCGUAUUUAAACGUACAUGUUCUACGAUCGCUCCGCGUUUAUAUAACGUAUUAAUUUUUCCUCGUCCGUGUAUUUAAAAAUGUUUAAAUGCGAGCAAUGUCCUUUGAAAUUCAACCAUUUAACUAAUUUGGUCGCUCACCGAAAAACACAUUUCAAAAUGUUUAAAUGCGAACAAUGUACUUUAGAAUUCACGGCGGAACGUGAUUUGAUCGCUCACCGAAAAACGCAUGUGAGCGUGCGUUUCCCGUGGGAAAUAUAAAUAGGUGUUCCAUUACAUUCAGUUCCAAAACUAGCACCAAAAAAUAUUUGAAAAAUGUUCAUGGUUUGUACAUUUGUACAAGCUCCGCUUCAGCAAGGAAAAUAUAUACAGUUCGCGCCACACAUUAUCGUUUCCGACAUACCAACUAGACCGUCAUUCUUACGAGAAACCAUGACGGACUUACCAACAGUGCUACCAACCCAAAAUGAUCACUCAUCAACCGUACGACAUACCGCGAUAGACUGCCCAGCGGGACCGCCCACCCAAAAUAAUUGCUCAUCAACAGUACGAGAUAACGCCAUACAUACAUUUUCAUGCUAUGUGGUUUGUAACGAGUGCAUGGAAGAUGUAAACAUCAUCGAAAAUCUUGGACUCCAUGAUAUGCAAGAUUCAUACACUACGGUCGAUAAUGGAAAACGUGUUUCCAGUGUCAACAUUACUUCAGCUAUUAGGGCAAAAAAAUUGCGCUUGAAUCUCGUGCAGUCCCCUGGGUUUAUGGAAAUCUCCUCAUCAUCCAGACCAUCUGGUAUUACUUAACAAAUAUCAGCAAUACUCAAAACUACUGUCAUCUACAACUCUAAUUUUUCACGACUCAUCCGCUCACAGAAAACCAGACAUAAUAGAUAAAUAAUUCUUAAUUUUUUUUUUUGGGGGGGGGGAUGGCUGAGCGGACUAAGGCGUCGGUUACGACACGCACCGAUGCCGGUAAAAAACCUCGGCCGCGGUCGGCAUUUUUCUUCGGUCGAGUCACGGUGACAAUGAAUUAAAAUGGAGCUGGUGUGUAGUGUAAAACGUUUGCAAAAAACUUAUAAACCAUACAACAUUCACAACACUGUUUUACAUACUAUAAAAUUCUAAAUGCAGUAUCAUUGGAAAAUAAAAUCAUUGAUUUUUGCAAGUCUAAUUUAUGUAGGUUUUGCAGUGUUGGAAAUUCCAAAGACCAUUAUGUACAAUUAUCACUGUAACGUUAUACAAGCCCAUUAUGGAAAUACAAUUGAGCUCAUUUAUAUAGAUACAGAUUCACUGGUAUACUACAUCCACCUGGAGAAUAAUUCCAAUUUACUUGAUCAAAUGGACUCAUCAGACUUACCACAAGACCAUCCAUGCUACAUUGCCAAACGAAAGAAAAUCCAAGGGUUAUUUUCUGACGAGACAAAUGGGGAAGUUAUGACACAUUUUUGUGCAUUCUAUGCAAAGUCUUAUACAUAUAAGAUUAAUGGCAAGGAGAAGAUCAGGGCGAAAGGACAUGUGGUCAAAAACUAAAAGAACUUCCAAGAUCAUUAUCGCUAUCUGUUUGGAGAUACAACCUUCGAUGCGAUAACGGUGAAUGUCUAUCCGUUCGUUCAAACAUCAAUUGAUUGAUGGAUAAAGUACAUACCCUGGAUCACAGUCUCUACUCUAUAGAGGAAACCGAGACACCAGAGCCAGCAGAAUCCGAAUUAAUGCAACUUCUGGAAGCCGAGCUAAAAAGAUAGUUUUUAUUCUAAAAUAGAUAUUGGAUUGUUUUUGAAUUGUAAAAUAUCUCUAUAGAUAUUUUUAUUUUAUUUUGUAAAUAUCUCUGUGGAUAUCAUUUUUUUAUUUUUAUUUUGUAAAAUACCCCUGUAGAUAUUGUAAAUAGAUAUUAAGUUAGAAUAGGAAGGAUGGUAUAAAGAAAAACUCUGCUAAAAAAUAAAUAUAAUUUUUAUUUAAAAAAAAA